Molecule: unclassified non-coding RNA, 838 nt
Filed under: Hevea brasiliensis (rubber tree)
Lineage: Eukaryota; Viridiplantae; Streptophyta; Magnoliopsida; Malpighiales; Euphorbiaceae
Source: RNAcentral
UGCUCUCUAAAGGCACUGAUAGAUGCUACUUCUCCCGAAAAUAGUCUUGAGGACGAGGUUGGUGUAAGAAUGGUGGCUCUGUUUGAUCAUGAAGAGGUUGGGUCUAAUUCAGCACAAGGUGCUGGAUCGCCAGUCAUGUUUGAUGCUCUCUCACGAAUUACAAGUACAUUUGGUCCAGAUUCAAAGCUAAUACAGAAAGCAAUCCAGAAGAGCUUCCUGGUGUCUGCUGAUAUGGCACAUGCCUUGCAUCCUAAUUACCCAGACAAGCACGAAGAGAAUCAUCAACCCAAAUUUCAUGGUGGGCUUGUUAUUAAACACAAUGCUAAUCAACGUUAUGCAACCAAUGCAAUCACUUCCUUUGUGUUCAGAGAAAUAGCUGCUAAGCACAACAUUCCUCUUCAGGAUUUUGUGAUUCGUAAUGAUAUGCCUUGUGGCUCAACCAUUGGACCUAUAUUGGCAAGCGGGGUAGGUAUUCGAACUGUUGAUGUAGGAGCACCACAGUGGUCAAUGCACAGCAUAAGAGAAAUGUGCGCGGUGGAUGAUGUGAAGCAUUCAUAUGAUCACUUUAAGGCUUUCUUCCAAGAUUUCUCACAACUUGAUGGGAAGAUCGCCGUUGACAUCUAGGCCAUAUAUGAUUGGUAAUGCCUUGUACUGUUGAAUUACAUAGGAAAAAUAAAACUUGUACAACAGUUUUAAUUCCCCCAGCUAGAAUUCAACAAUCAAAAGAUUUGACAAUGGACAAUGGUGUCCAUUACAACUGGUGCUUGUUAUUCACCUUCUGAGAACUAAUACAUCUGUUGAAAACUAGCUGUGUGUUCCUUUUUUUGGAAUGAGCAAG